This is an RNA transcript of Nycticebus coucang (slow loris), 1571 nucleotides long. It is a transcript of the gene named pyruvate kinase PKM-like, with no coding region annotated. The record is from RefSeq and is a predicted model, not a curated record. Lineage: Eukaryota; Metazoa; Chordata; Mammalia; Primates; Lorisidae. The transcript is spliced from 2 exons.
GCUGCCUACCUCUUUGCAUUUGCAGCGGAGCCCGAGCUAGAGCUAGACCGCGCCAGAGGACCUCAGCAGCCAUGUCAAAGCCCAGUAGUGAAGCCGGGACUACUUUCAUUCAGCCCCAGCAGCUGCACGAAGCCAUGGCCGACACAUUCCUGGAGCAUAUGUGCUGCCUGGACAGCGACUCAACAUCAAUCACAGCCCAUUCUGGAAUGAAUGUGGCUCGUCUGAACUUGUUGCAUGAACUCAUGAGUACCAUGCAGAAACCAUUAAGAAUAUGCGCACAGCCACAGAAAGCUUUGCAUCUGACCCCAUUCUCUACCAGCCAGUUGCUGUGGCUCUGGACACUAAAGGACCUGGGAUUCAAACUGGGCUUAUCAAGGGCAGUGGCACCACGGAGGUGGAGCUGAAGAAAGGAGCCACUCUCAAAAUCACAUUGGACGACACCUACAUGAAGAAGUGUGACAAGACUACCCUGUGGCUGGACUACAAGAACAUCUGCAAGGUGGUAGAGGUGGGCAGCAAGAUCUACGUGAAUGAUGGACUUAUUUCCCUGCUGGUGAAGCAGAAAGGUGCUGACUUCCUGGUGACAGGUGGAAAAUGGUGGCUCCUUGGGCAGCAAGAAGGGUGUAAACCUUCCCAGGGCUGCUGUGGACCUGCCUGCUGUGUCAACAUCCAGGACCUGAAGUUUGUGGUAGAACAGGAUGUAGAUAUGGUGUUUGCAUCUUUCAUCCGCAAGCCUGAUGUCCAUGAAAUCAGGAAGGUCCUAGGAGAGAAAGGAAAGAACAUCAAGAUAAUCAGCAAAAUUGAGAAUCAUGAGGGAAUUCAGAGGUUUGAUGAGAUCUUGGAGGCCAGUGAUGGGAUCAUGGUGACUCGUGGUGACCUAAUCAUUGAGAUUCCUGCAGAGAAGGUCUUCCUUGCUCAGAAGGUGAUGAUCAGGCUAUGCAACCGAGCUAGGAAGCCUGUCUUCUGUGCCACAUAGAUGCUGGAGAGCAUGAUCAAGAAGCCCCGCCCCACCCAGGCGGAGGGCGGCGAUGUGACCAAAGCAGUCCUGAACGAUGCUGACUGCAUCAUGCUGUCUGGAGAAACAGCCAAAGGGGACUAACCUCUGGAAGCUGUUAGCAGGCAGCACCUGAUUGCCCAUGAGGCAGAGGCAAUCAUUUACCACUUGCAAUUAUUUGAGGAACUCUGCCGCCUGGCACCCAUUACCAGCAACCCAACAGAAGCUGCUGCCAUUGGGGCCAUGGAGGCCUUCUUCAAUUACUGCAGUGGGCCAUAAUCAUCCUCACCAAGUCUGGCAGGUCUGCUCACCAGAUGGCCAGAUAAGGCCCAUGUGCCCCUAUUGUUGCUAUGACAAGGAAUCCCCAGACAGCUUGCCAGGCCCACCUAUACCGUGGCAUAUUCCCUGUCUUGUGCAAGGACCCAGUCCAGGAAGCUGAGGAUGUGGACCUCCAGGUGAACUUGGCCAUGAAUGUUGGAAAGGCCCAAGGCUUCUUCAAGACAGGAGAUGUGUCUUGACUUGGUGGUGCCCUGGCUCUGGUUUCACCAACACCAUGGAUGUAGUGCCUGUGCCAUGA